RNAcentral lists this unclassified non-coding RNA (443 nucleotides) under Hevea brasiliensis (rubber tree). The record is from RNAcentral. Lineage: Eukaryota; Viridiplantae; Streptophyta; Magnoliopsida; Malpighiales; Euphorbiaceae.
ACCUGCCGAACCGUUAGACGUUGUCCUCAAAAUCUCUUCAAUCUCGAAGAGAGGACCCCCACAACUGGGCUUGCCUCGCUUGUCUCUGCACCAAGUUCUCUUUUCUCAUCCGCAACAUCUGCUGGAAGUCUAAAUGUAACAAAAACAUUCCCGCCGUUGUUGCCGAUCUCUUAUGCUGCCCUGACUCUUCUAUUUCUGGCGGCUGGUCUGCUCUCCACUAGCUCGCCGUCUGCUGUCAUGGACUCCUCCACGCAUGUGUUUUGCUCGAACGCUCUGAUUUUGGCCUCGAACGCGAACUCGGACCUGAUGAUAAUUACCAUAAGCUGGCCUCCUUUCAAUCCAAAAACAAACCACCUGCUCUACCAUCCCCUUUGAACAUUUCUGAUGCUACUUCUGAAAAUUGCGAUUGCUCUUGGUCAUUACUUGAUGACCUCUAUCACGAU